UAGGGAAUCUUCCACAAAUGGACGCAAGUCUGAUGGAGCAACGCCGCGUGAGUGAAGAAGGUCUUCGGAUCGUAAAACUCUGUUGUUAGAGAAGAACACGAGUGAGAGUAACUGUUCAUUCGAUGACGGUAUCUAACCAGCAAGUCACGGCUAACUACGUGCCAU
RNAcentral lists this ribosomal RNA (165 nucleotides) under uncultured bacterium. Its description in RNAcentral is "partial 16S rRNA". It matches the Rfam family "Bacterial small subunit ribosomal RNA", at positions 355 to 511 of the family's 1533-position model. The record is from RNAcentral.